UAACACGUGGGGAACCUGCCCCAUAGUCUGGGAUACCACUUGGAAACAGGUGCUAAUACCGGAUAAGAAAGCGGAUCGCAUGAUCAGCUUUUAAAAGGCGGCGUAAGCUGUCGCUAUGGGAUGGCCCCGCGGUGCAUUAGCUAGUUGGUAAGGUAAAGGCUUACCAAGGCGAUGAUGCAUAGCCGAGUUGAGAGACUGAUCGGCCACAUUGGGACUGAGACACGGCCCAAACUCCUACGGGAGGCAGCAGCA
RNAcentral lists this ribosomal RNA (252 nucleotides) under uncultured Lactobacillus sp. RNAcentral describes it as "partial 16S ribosomal RNA". It matches the Rfam family "Bacterial small subunit ribosomal RNA", at positions 111 to 355 of the family's 1533-position model. The record is from RNAcentral. Lineage: Bacteria; Bacillati; Bacillota; Bacilli; Lactobacillales; Lactobacillaceae.